Molecule: long non-coding RNA, 232 nt
Filed under: Trifolium pratense (red clover)
Lineage: Eukaryota; Viridiplantae; Streptophyta; Magnoliopsida; Fabales; Fabaceae
Description: long non-coding RNA (TPRA_LNC006712)
Source: RNAcentral
GAUCUUAGUUCUAUGCCUGUUGAAACUGAGAUGGAAGACACUCCUACAGAAGUUGAAACAGAAACUGCUAAUAAAUCACCAACAAUUGCUGAGAUGGUGGCUGAAAAAUCAACCCCUGUUGUUACUGAAGAGGUUGUCAUGCAAGAUGUUGAGACAUCCUUGAAUGAGAAUGAAGAUGCUGAAACUGCUGAGGAAGAACCUGUGAAGGAAACUGUUGCUGAAAAAGAUGUUG